GAUGAACGCUGGCGGCGUGCUUAACACAUGCAAGUCGAACGGAAGGGCCCUGCUUUUGUUGGUUGCUCGAGUGGCGAACGGGUGAGUGACACGUGAGUAACCUCCCCUUGACUUUGGGAUAACUUCAGGAAAAAGGGGCUAAUACCGGAUAGGAGCUCCUGCUGCAUGGUGGGGGUUGGAGAGUUUCGGCGGUUGGGGCUGGACUCGCGGCUUAUCAGCUUGUUUGUGGGGUAGUGGCUUACCAAGCCUUUGACGGCUAGCCGGCCUGAGAGGGUGACCGGCCACAUUGGGACUGAGAUACGGCCCAGACGGCUACGGGAGGCAGUAGGGGGGAAUAUUGCACAAUGGGCGGAAGCGUGAUGCAGCAACGCCGCGUGCGGGAUGACGGCCUUCGGGGUGUAAACCGCUUUCGCCUGUGACGAAGCGUGAGUGACGGUAAUGGGUAAAGAAGCACCGGCUAACUACGUG
This 468-nucleotide ribosomal RNA is filed under the name uncultured bacterium. RNAcentral's name for it is "partial 16S ribosomal RNA". It matches the Rfam family "Bacterial small subunit ribosomal RNA", at positions 28 to 507 of the family's 1533-position model. The record is from RNAcentral.